Ciona savignyi (Pacific transparent sea squirt) is the source of this 45-nucleotide non-coding RNA. The record is from Rfam. NCBI's taxonomy places the organism in Eukaryota, Metazoa, Chordata, Ascidiacea, Phlebobranchia, Cionidae.
UAAACGGCUCUUUUUAGAGCCAGCCAUUUUAAAAAAAAGAUUCCU